This 27-nucleotide small RNA is filed under the name Bombyx mori (domestic silkworm). RNAcentral describes it as "ovarian small RNA-6157". The record is from RNAcentral. Lineage: Eukaryota; Metazoa; Arthropoda; Insecta; Lepidoptera; Bombycidae.
UACUACUUGUAAGACCUCAACAAAGGG